This 73-nucleotide transfer RNA is filed under the name Salmo salar (Atlantic salmon). It matches the Rfam family "tRNA". Rfam says of the family: Transfer RNA (tRNA) molecules are approximately 80 nucleotides in length. Their secondary structure includes four short double-helical elements and three loops (D, anti-codon, and T loops). The record is from Rfam by way of RNAcentral. Lineage: Eukaryota; Metazoa; Chordata; Actinopteri; Salmoniformes; Salmonidae.
AUCCCUGUAGCUCAGUUGGUAGAGCAUGGUGUUUGCAACGCCAAGGUUGUGGGUUUGAUUCCCACGGGGGGCC